AUGCAAGUCGAGCGGACUGAUGGGAGCUUGCUCCCAUCAAUCAGCGGCGGACGGGUGAGUAACACGUGGGUAACCUGCCUGUAAGACUGGGAUAACUCCGGGAAACCGGGGCUAAUACCGGAUAACUCAUUUCCUCGCAUGAGGAAAUGUUGAAAGGUGGCUUUUAGCUAUCACUUACAGAUGGACCCGCGGCGCAUUAGCUAGUUGGUGAGGUAACGGCUCACCAAGGCGACGAUGCGUAGCCGACCUGAGAGGGUGAUCGGCCACACUGGGACUGAGACACGGCCCAGACUCCUACGGGAGGCAGCAGUAGGGAAUCUUCCGCAAUGGACGAAAGUCUGACGGAGCAACGCCGCGUGAGUGAUGAAGGUUUUCGGAUCGUAAAACUCUGUUGUUAGGGAAGAACAAGUACCGUUCGAAUAGGGCGGUACCUUGACGGUACCUAACCAGAAAGCCACGGCUAACUACGUGCCAGCAGCCGCGGUAAUACGUAGGUGGCAAGCGUUGUCCGGAAUUAUUGGGCGUAAAGCGCGCGCAGGUGGUUUCUUAAGUCUGAUGUGAAAGCCCACGGCUCAACCGUGGAGGGUCAUUGGAAACUGGGGAACUUGAGUGCAGAAGAGGAAAGUGGAAUUCCAAGUGUAGCGGUGAAAUGCGUAGAUAUUUGGAGGAACACCAGUGGCGAAGGCGACUUUCUGGUCUGUAACUGACACUGAGGCGCGAAAGCGUGCGGAGCAAACAGGAUUAGAUACCCUGGUAGUCCACGCCGUAAACGAUGAGUGCU
Molecule: ribosomal RNA, 781 nt
Filed under: Rossellomorea aquimaris
Lineage: Bacteria; Bacillati; Bacillota; Bacilli; Caryophanales; Bacillaceae
Description: bacterial SSU rRNA
Rfam family: Bacterial small subunit ribosomal RNA
Source: RNAcentral